GAUGAACGCUAGCGGCAGGCCUAACACAUGCAAGUCGAGGGGGAGGUUACUUUCGGGUAACUGAGACCGGCGUACGGGUGCGUAACGCGUAUACAAUCUGCCUUUCACUGGGGGAUAGCCCGAAGAAAUUUGGAUUAAUACCCCAUAGUAUAGUAAUACGGCAUCGUGAUGCUAUUAAAGCUUAGGUGGUGAAAGAUGAGUAUGCGUUCUAUUAGCUAGUUGGAGAGGUAACGGCUCCCCAAGGCGAUGAUAGAUAGGGGUUCUGAGGGGGAUGUCCCCCACACUGGUACUGAGAUACGGACCAGACUCCUACGGGAGGCAGCAGUGAGGAAUAUUGGACAAUGGUCGGAAGACUGAUCCAGCCAUGCCGCGUGCAGGAUGAAGGUCUUAUGGAUUGUAAACUGCUUUUGUAAGGGAAGAAUAAGGGCUACGCGUAGUUUGAUGACGGUACCUUACGAAUAAGCAUCGGCUAACUCCGUG
RNAcentral lists this ribosomal RNA (480 nucleotides) under uncultured bacterium. RNAcentral describes it as "partial 16S ribosomal RNA". It matches the Rfam family "Bacterial small subunit ribosomal RNA", at positions 28 to 507 of the family's 1533-position model. The record is from RNAcentral.